AGGGUUGUGGCUCAGUGGUAGAGUGCUUACCUAGCAUGUAUGAGGCACUGGGUUCCAUUCUGAGCACCUUA
Molecule: transfer RNA, 71 nt
Filed under: Marmota monax (woodchuck)
Lineage: Eukaryota; Metazoa; Chordata; Mammalia; Rodentia; Sciuridae
Rfam family: tRNA
About the family: Transfer RNA (tRNA) molecules are approximately 80 nucleotides in length. Their secondary structure includes four short double-helical elements and three loops (D, anti-codon, and T loops). Further hydrogen bonds mediate the characteristic L-shaped molecular structure. tRNAs have two regions of fundamental functional importance: the anti-codon, which is responsible for specific mRNA codon recognition, and the 3' end, to which the tRNAs corresponding amino acid is attached (by aminoacyl-tRNA synthetases). tRNAs cope with the degeneracy of the genetic code in two manners: having more than one tRNA (with a specific anti-codon) for a particular amino acid; and 'wobble' base-pairing, i.e. permitting non-standard base-pairing at the 3rd anti-codon position.
Source: Rfam by way of RNAcentral